Molecule: ribosomal RNA, 465 nt
Filed under: uncultured bacterium
Lineage: Bacteria
Description: bacterial SSU rRNA
Rfam family: Bacterial small subunit ribosomal RNA
Source: RNAcentral
UGGCCAGACUCCUACGGGAGGCAGCAGUGGGGAAUAUUGCACAAUGGGGGAAACCCUGAUGCAGCGACGCCGCGUGAGUGAAGAAGUAUUUCGGUAUGUAAAGCUCUAUCAGCAGGGAAGAAAUACUGACCUUACGGUCAGCAGACGGUACCUGACUAAGAAGCCCCGGCUAACUACGUGCCAGCAGCCGCGGUAAUACGUAGGGGGCAAGCGUUAUCCGGAUUUACUGGGUGUAAAGGGAGCGUAGGUGGCAUGGCAAGCCAGAAGUGAAAACCCGGGGCUUAACCCCUGGACUGCUCUGGAAACUGUCGUACUUGAGUGCAGGAGAGGUAAGUGGAAUUCCUAGUGUAGCGGUGAAAUGCGUAGAUAUUAGGAGGAACACCAGUGGCGAAGGCGGCUUACUGGACUGUAACUGACGUUGAGGCUCGAAAGCGUGGGGAGCAAACAGGAUUAGAUACCCGAGUA